RNAcentral lists this ribosomal RNA (416 nucleotides) under uncultured Actinomycetes bacterium. Its description in RNAcentral is "bacterial SSU rRNA". It matches the Rfam family "Bacterial small subunit ribosomal RNA", at positions 998 to 1415 of the family's 1533-position model. Lineage: Bacteria; Bacillati; Actinomycetota; Actinomycetes. The record is from RNAcentral.
CCGUAGAGAUACGGUGUCCGCAAGGGUUCUACACAGGCGGUGCAUGGCUGUCGUCAGCUCGUGUCGUGAGAUGUUGGGUUAAGUCCCCGCAACGAGCGCAACCCUUGUCCUAUGUUGCCAGCACGUAAUGGUGGGGACUCGUAGGAGACUGCCGGGGUCAACUCGGAGGAAGGUGGGGACGACGUCAAGUCAUCAUGCCCCUUAUGUCCAGGGCUGCAAACAUGCUACAAUGGCCGAUACAAAGGCCUGCGAGACUGCGAAGUUGAGCGAAUCCCAAAAAGUCGGUCUCAGUUCGGAUCGGAGUCUGCAACUCGACUCCGUGAAGUUGGAGUCGCUAGUAAUCCCGGAUCAGCAACGCCGGGGUGAAUACGUUCCCGGGCCUUGUACACACCGCCCGUCACACCACGAAAGUCGCA